AUACGGAGGGUGCAAGCGUUAUUCGGAAUCACUGGGCGUAAAGCGCGCGCAGGCGGUCUUUUAAGUUGGAUGUGAAAGCCUACGGCUCAACCGUAGAACUGCAUCCAAAACUAUUAGACUAGAGUGUGGGAGAGGAAGAUGGAGUUAGUUGUGUAGGGGUAAAAUCCGUAGAGAUAACUAGGAAUACCAAAAGCGAAGGCAAUCUUCUGGAACACUACUGACGCUGAGGCGCGAAAGCGUGGGGAGCAAACAGGAUUAGAAACCCUAGUAGUCC
RNAcentral lists this ribosomal RNA (274 nucleotides) under uncultured bacterium. RNAcentral describes it as "partial 16S ribosomal RNA". It matches the Rfam family "Bacterial small subunit ribosomal RNA", at positions 523 to 796 of the family's 1533-position model. The record is from RNAcentral.